Molecule: long non-coding RNA, 1067 nt
Filed under: Astyanax mexicanus (Mexican tetra)
Lineage: Eukaryota; Metazoa; Chordata; Actinopteri; Characiformes; Acestrorhamphidae
Description: lncRNA (ENSAMXG00005012655.1)
Source: RNAcentral
UUAAAGUGUGCUUUCAGUGUGGGAGAGCCAUGUAGCUCUACAACUUCUCCACUUCUCCAUCUUUAUCUUUUCACCGAAACCUGGCUCAACAACAGCGUCCCGGACCACGCCGUUCAGCUGGAGCGGCUAACAUGCUAUCGGGCGGACCGCACGCUAGCUGACGGAGGUAAGAGCCGCGGCGGCGGGCUCUGUGUUUACAUCAGCGAUGCUUGGUGUCGGAACGUUGUUGUGGUCUGUAAACACUGCUCACCGGUAGUGGAACUGAUGAUUAUCAAAUGCCGUCCGUUCUAUCUACCGAGAGAUUUCUCCGCCGUGCUGAUCGCUGCUGUUUACAUCCCUCCGACCUCCAACAACAGCGUGAGGAGUGAAGCACUGAAUGAACUGUACCAGUACAUCAGUGAACAGCAGACAGCGCACCCAGAUGCUUUUCUCAUUCUGGCUGGAGAUUUCAACCAUGCAGACCCAAAGAGUGUGUUUUCUGGACUUUUUAAACACAUAGACUUUCCAACCAGGGGAAGCAACAUAUUGGACCAGGUCUUUACUACACACAGAGGAGCCUACCGAGCCUCCCCCCUCCCCCACCUGGGAGCCUCUGAUCACCUCACCAUUAUGCUAAUGCCAGCUUACAGACCACUGGUUAAAGUCACCAAACCAGUUCUUAAGCAGGUACGAGUAUGGCCAGAGGGUUCCUCAGAGGCACUUCAGGACUGUUUCAGCACAACAGACUGGAAUAUGUUCAGAGAGGCUGCCACCCACAACAACUCCACAGACAUUCAGGAGUACACAGAAACUGUCUCUGCCUACAUCACCAAGUGCACUGAUGAUGUAACCGACCUCAAGACCGUCACUGUUCGAGCGAAUCAGAAACCAUGGCUGACAGGAGAGGUCCACAAGCUCCUGAAGGCUAGAAAUGCAGCCUUCAGAACAGGUGACCAGGCAGGCCUGAGGUCAGCCAAUGCACAAAGUACUGGUCCCUUCCAAAUGGACUUGCACUACACAACACCUGCACUACUGAUAUACUUGCACUGUCAAUACGCACUUUAAUGGGUUUGCCAUUCUUUAUUAUC